Molecule: ribosomal RNA, 408 nt
Filed under: uncultured bacterium
Lineage: Bacteria
Description: partial 16S ribosomal RNA
Rfam family: Bacterial small subunit ribosomal RNA
Source: RNAcentral
AGUGAACGCUGGCGGCGUGCCUAAUACAUGCAAGUCGAACGGAGUGGCGCACGGGUGAGUAAUAUAUAGCUACUCUGCCCCUUGCUGGAGGACAACAGUGAGAAAUGACUGCUAAUACUCCAUAGCAAGGGAUGAGACUAUAUCGUGUCAGCUAGUCGGUGGGGUAACUGCCUACCGAGUCUAUGACGCGUAACUGGACUGAGAGGAUGAUCAGUCACAUUGGAACGGAGGCACGGUCCGAACUCCUACGGGAAGCAGCAGUAGGGAAUAUUGCGCAAUGGGCGAAACCCUGACGCAGCAUCGCCGCGUGGAGGAUGACACUUUUCGGAGCGUAAACUCCUUUUGUUAGGGACGCGGUACCUAACGAAUAAGCACCGGCUAACUCCGUGCCAGCAGCCGCGGUAAUUC